RNAcentral lists this ribosomal RNA (497 nucleotides) under uncultured bacterium. Its description in RNAcentral is "partial 16S ribosomal RNA". It matches the Rfam family "Bacterial small subunit ribosomal RNA", at positions 28 to 507 of the family's 1533-position model. The record is from RNAcentral.
GACGAGCGCUGGCGGCGUGCCUAAUACAUGCAAGUUGAGCGCUGAAGGUUGGUACUUGUACCGACUGGAUGAGCAGCGAACGGGUGAGUAACGCGUGGGGAAUCUGCCUUUGAGCGGGGGACAACAUUUGGAAACGAAUGCUAAUACCGCAUAAAAACUUUAAACACAAGUUUUAAGUUUGAAAGAUGCAAUUGCAUCACUCAAAGAUGAUCCCGCGUUGUAUUAGCUAGUUGGUGAGGUAAAGGCUCACCAAGGCGAUGAUACAUAGCCGACCUGAGAGGGUGAUCGGCCACAUUGGGACUGAGACACGGCCCAAACUCCUACGGGAGGCAGCAGUAGGGAAUCUUCGGCAAUGGACGAAAGUCUGACCGAGCAACGCCGCGUGAGUGAAGAAGGUUUUCGGAUCGUAAAACUCUGUUGGUAGAGAAGAACGUUGGUGAGAGUGGAAAGCUCAUCAAGUGACGGUAACUACCCAGAAAGGGACGGCUAACUACGUG